This is a long non-coding RNA of Mauremys reevesii (Reeves's turtle), 759 nucleotides long. RefSeq lists it as uncharacterized. The record is from RefSeq and is a predicted model, not a curated record. The transcript has 5 exons. Lineage: Eukaryota; Metazoa; Chordata; Testudines; Geoemydidae.
UGAGAGCCGUUGGCUAGAAAUGGCAGAACCUUUGAUCUGUCUCCACACUAAACCAAUAGUCUAGGGGCUUUACAAAAUAGUUUAGUUUUAUCUAGAAUGCCCUCCUGACAUCUGGAGUAUUGAGAACAGUCUCCCUGCUGGAAUUAUAGUUUCAGAAAGAAAACUGAUAGAACAGGACAACUGUAGCCCAGCGAACCAUUGAGGAGCCACGCCUUGAGGCAGCAAAUGCUCAGAUUGGGAUGCAGCCUUCAACUGGUGCCCUGGGAGAGAAGUUGAGGAGUGAUUGGAAGAUUUGUCAAUGGAUAAAGAGCUGGGUGGAACUGAUCUGUGCCUGAUAAGAGGCAGAAAAGGACAGCAGGCAUUUCUGACCCGUGCUGAGAUCCAACAGGUGGAACCCAGCUGUUCAACCACUUGAGAACUGGGUCUCUGGGUUGCAACCCCCAUUGCCCAGAUGCACGAAUGUGACAGGCCCAACUGCAUUCUGCCCGUGCAAGAAACGUUCUUCCAGGAGCUUAUGAUCAACAGAUCACAUUUACAUUAUUGGACCUGGCAGCCACUCAGUGCAAGAACGCUGAGACUAGUCUAAUAGUUCAUACUCCUAACUUGCCAGGGGCAGUAGAGAAUCCCAUUGGGAAUGAUCCUGCAGUAAAACGUCAGUAGUAAGUAAGGAGGCACACACACCAUUUUGCAGCAUAGCUGUAAAGCCACUUCCCCAGGGCUUUUCUGCAUGAACAAAGAGCUUCAGAGGUCUCAGUGCAU